This 443-nucleotide ribosomal RNA is filed under the name uncultured bacterium. RNAcentral describes it as "partial 16S ribosomal RNA". It matches the Rfam family "Bacterial small subunit ribosomal RNA", at positions 338 to 795 of the family's 1533-position model. The record is from RNAcentral.
CCUACGGGAGGCAGCAGUGGGGAAUAUUGGGCAAUGGGCGCAAGCCUGACCCAGCAACGCCGCGUGAAGGAAGAAUGCUCUCGGGUUGUAAACUUCUUUUCUCAGGGACGUGGAAAGUGACGGUACCUGCGGAAUAAGCCACGGCUAACUACGUGCCAGCAGCCGCGGUAAUACGUAGGUGGCAAGCGUUAUCCGGAUUUAUUGGGUGUAAAGGGCGUGUAGGCGGGAGCGCAAGUCAGAUGUGAAAACUCAGGGCUCAACCCUGAGACUGCAUUUGAAACUGUGUUUCUUGAGUGCUGGAGAGGCAAUCGGAAUUCCGUGUGUAGCGGUGAAAUGCGUAGAUAUACGGAGGAACACCAGUGGCGAAGGCAGAUUGCUAGACAGUAACUGACACUGAGGCGCGAAAGCGUGGGGAGCAAACAGGAUUAGAUACCCUUGUAGUC